AAUCAAACUUAACUCCUUCCUUCCUUUGUAACAGUUUUGUUGACGUCACAGAAUUAGGCAUCCAUCACCACAAUCAAUUUUAAAACAUUUGUUACUUCAAAAAGAAUCCCUGUACGCAUUAGCUGUCAUUCCCCAUGUUAUGAACUGAAUGUUCACCUCCGCUCACCACAGUUUAUAUAUUGAAGUCCUAUCCCUGGGUAGGAUGGUAUCUGGAGGUGGAGCCUUUGGGAGGUUAUUAGGAUCAGAUGAGAUCAUGAGGGUAGAACCCCGUGGUGGGAUUAGUGUCCUUAUAAGGAGACAAAGAGACUAGAACUUACAUGCUCUCUCUUUCUGCUUGCGGGCAUUCAGCAAAGACAGAGGACAAGAUGAUUCUUGCUGAGAACCAGAUCAUGCUAGCGUCCUGAUUUUGAACUUCAGCCUCUAGAACUGAAAAAUAAGUAUCUGCCUUUUUUUAAAGCCACUUGAUCUGUUCUAUUUUUAUUGUUGCAAACCAAACUGACUGACAUCCCAUUCCCCCCCCACCCCACACCCCCAGGACCUGACAUCCAUUCAUCUGCUUUCUGACUCUAUGAAUUUGCCUGUUUUGGACAUUUCAUAUCAGUGGAAACAAACAUAAAAUAUGUGAACUUUAUGACUGGCGUCAUUCACUUAGCAUGCCAUUUUUCAAGUGCCAUCUGUGUUGUACCCUGUACCAAUACUUCAUUCUUCUUUAUUGAUGAAUAAUAUUCCAUUUAUGGUUACAUCAUGUUGUAUAUCCCUUUAUCAGUUGAUAGACACUUGGAUUAUUUCCACCUUUUGGCUGUUGUGAAUAAUGCAGCUAUGAAUAGUUCUGUGCAAGUAUCUGAACAUCUUUUUCCAAUUCCAUUGGGUAUAUACCUAGGAGUGGAAAUGCUGGGUCAUAGGGUAAUUCUGUUUUUAAUAUUUUGAGGAACUGUCAGACUCUUUUCCACAGUGACUACGCAUUUUAUAUUUCCACCUUCAGUGCCCCUCUUGUUUCUUUGAUUUAUCGUUACCUCUACCAGCCAGCUCACUUGUAAACAGGGGCCUCUUGGUCUAUUUUUGAUAUAUGUUUACUUUUAAAAAAGUAAAGUGAAAUCUAGUUUUCUUUGAAAAAAUUCAAGACGCAUGUUGAACUAAUUGUGCUUUAUCAAAAACAAAAAAGAUUUGGCGGGGAGUUCUCUUGAGGUGCAUCGGGUUAAGGAUCUGGUGUUGUCACUGCAGUGACUUUGGUCGCUCCUGUGGUGUGGGUUCUAUCCCUGACCCAGGAACUUCCAUAUGCUGUGGGCAUAGCGAAAAAAAAAAAAAAAAA
This 1309-nucleotide long non-coding RNA is filed under the name Sus scrofa (pig). Its description in RNAcentral is "lncRNA (ENSSSCG00055024446.1)". Lineage: Eukaryota; Metazoa; Chordata; Mammalia; Artiodactyla; Suidae. The record is from RNAcentral.